RNAcentral lists this ribosomal RNA (741 nucleotides) under Triticum aestivum (bread wheat). RNAcentral's name for it is "partial small subunit ribosomal RNA". Lineage: Eukaryota; Viridiplantae; Streptophyta; Magnoliopsida; Poales; Poaceae. The record is from RNAcentral.
CGCAUCACCAAUGAAAAAAUUCGUGAUCACGCUACUGCCAUCAGGUCAAGAAUCAUUGAAAAGGUAAAGGAAGCAAAAUAUUUCUUAGUUAUUCUUGAUUGUACUCCUGAUGCAAGCCACCAGGAACAAAUGUCAUUGAUAAUUAGGUAUGUAGAUACAUCUUCUGCUUCUGUUUGCAUCGAAGAAUCUUUCUUAGGCUUUUUGGAGGUGAAUGAUACCACUGGGCAAGGUUUGUUUAAUGUUUUAGAAGAGGAGUUGAAUAAUCUUUGCCUUGAUGUGGACAAUGUGAGAGGACAGGGUUAUGAUAAUGGGUCAACUAUGAAAGGAAACAAUAAAGGGGUACACAAGAAAUUUCUGGAAAAGAAUCCAAGGGCAUUUUAUUCAGCUUGUGGUUGUCAUAGUCUAAAUCUGGCACUAUGCGAUAUGGCGAAGUCUUGCCGAAAAGCAACAGACUUCUUUGGAAUUAUACAACGCAUCUAUACGAUAUUUGCUAAUUCGACUAAACGAUGGCAAAUUCUCAAAGAUAACUUAAAGAAGUUGACUGUCAAGUCAUUGUCAUCUACUCGUUGGGAGAGUCAUGUUGAGAGUGUUAAGGCUAUACGGAUUCAAAUGCCAGAAAUAAGGGAGGCUUUACUACAAGUGGCUGAAACUGAUAAGGAUCCAUUGGCAAGUAGUGAAGCACAAUCAUUGGCAGAAAAUGAACUUGGUGGUUUUGAAUUUUUAGUGUCAAUAAUUAUCUAG